UACGUAGGGGGCUAGCGUUGUCCGGAAUCAUUGGGCGUAAAGCGCGUGUAGGCGGCCCGGUAAGUCCGCUGUGAAAGUCGGGGGCUCAACCCUCGGAUGCCGGUGGAUACUGUCGGGCUAGAGUGCGGAAGAGGCGAGUGGAAUUCCUGGUGUAGCGGUGAAAUGCGCAGAUAUCAGGAGGAACACCGGUGGCGAAGGCGGAUCUCUGGGCCAUUACUGACGCUGAGGAGCGAAAGCGUGGGGAGCGAACAGG
RNAcentral lists this ribosomal RNA (253 nucleotides) under uncultured bacterium. Its description in RNAcentral is "partial 16S ribosomal RNA". It matches the Rfam family "Bacterial small subunit ribosomal RNA", at positions 524 to 776 of the family's 1533-position model. The record is from RNAcentral.